CAUAUCAAUAAGCGGAGGAAAAGAAACCAACAGGGAUUGUCUUAGUAACGGCGAGUGAAGCGACAAAAGCUCAAAUUUGAAAUCUGGCACCUUCGGUGUCCGAGUUGUAAUUUGAAGAAGGUAACUUUGGAGUUGGCUCUUGUCUAUGUUCCUUGGAACAGGACGUCACAGAGGGUGAGAAUCCCGUGCGAUGAGAUGUCCAACUCUAUGUAAAGUGCUUUCGAAGAGUCGAGUUGUUUGGGAAUGCAGCUCUAAGUGGGUGGUAAAUUCCAUCUAAAGCUAAAUAUUGGCGAGAGACCGAUAGCGAACAAGUACAGUGAUGGAAAGAUGAAAAGAACUUUGAAAAGAGAGUGAAAAAGUACGUGAAAUUGUUGAAAGGGAAGGGUUUGAGAUCAGACUUGGUAUUUUGUAUGUCUUGCUUUCGGGUGGGGCCUCUGCAGUUUACUGGGCCAGCAUCGGUUUGGACGGUAGGAUAAUGACAUUGGAAUGUGGCACUACUUCGGUGGUGUGUUAUAGACUUUGUUGAUACUACCUGUCUAGACCGAGGACUGCGUCUUUGACUAGGAUGCUGGCAUAAUGAUCCUAAACCGC
This 591-nucleotide ribosomal RNA is filed under the name Scheffersomyces insectosa. Its description in RNAcentral is "partial 28S ribosomal RNA". It matches the Rfam family "Eukaryotic large subunit ribosomal RNA", at positions 39 to 648 of the family's 3401-position model. The record is from RNAcentral. Lineage: Eukaryota; Fungi; Ascomycota; Pichiomycetes; Serinales; Debaryomycetaceae.